UUAUUGUAACAAAUGAAAAUGAGAAUUUAAGAUUUAUAUUCUACGUCAGAAGAUUCCAACACUUUGAUAUACUUGAAGGUUCUGAUAAUGUGUUUAAUGCUAUACAGACAUAUUGAGUUAUUUAGUUUGUAUACAGUCACUUUCCUUUCAUUGCUUUCUACUUCCUCAUAAGUAUUGAUGUGGGUGUCUGUACAUCAGUUGAUUUCUCUUUCAUGUGACGCUGACAUGAUGCUGCACAUCUUCCUCAUCUCCAUGCUGUUUCUUGAGGUUUUGCCUCAAUCAUUGUUCGAGCAGUUGUGGUUGACGACAUCUCCAUCAACAGCGCAGAAUAACUCAAAUAUAAGAUAUGAAGCACAAGACAGAUCAUCUGUUCAACCUCACUACAUCACAGAUGCAAAAAAGAGGUUUUCUCUGGAUAAGAAGCCGGAGAUUACAGUAAAUUAUGACUCUCCAAAUGGAGAAUUUAGAGUUUACUGUGAAAUACCAGGAUCAGAUAAUGCUGGUUAUACUUGUUUUCUCUUAAUUGGAGACGAAAAUAAACAAAUUCUUAAGACUUAUAAACCAUCUGGACGAACACAGUGUGUUAUUACGUUCAAGGAACAUUAUUUGCUUAAUAAACUAAUGUCAGUUAAGAGUAAAGUGAUGAGCUGCAAUUAUUCUUCUGGAACUUCAAUAUCAUCUGAACGUUCACCAUACAGUAAUAAAUACAACCUAACAGCUUUUCUACCUGUACAAGUUCAGGUAACAAGUACAACAAAAGGAUCAACAUUAUAUUCAACAUCAGUGAGUGAGGAGACUACUAAACAAAACCCAACAACACCAGACAAUUCCAUCUUUACCAACAAUACUAUGUUCAUAAGCAUUUCAACCAUUCAGAAUAUCACAGCCACAAAGUCUAGCAUGUGGUCUGACAGCACAAUAAACUCUACAUCGGAAACGGCUCAAUCUUCACAACCUCUAAACAUCACAAUGAACAUGACAGUGGUUGUUAAUGAUUCAUCUGAUGCACACAGAACACCAGCAACAAAAUCGUGGAUAAUCAUGAUACUGACAGCCACCGGUGGAGGAAUUGUGCUGAGUGGAUUGUUGGGAAUCUGUCUCUUCUGCAUGAGACAGAAACCAAGGAAGAUGAGUAUGAAACCCUCAAAACCAGAGCAAUAUUCGGUGCCAGAUGAUAAUGAUGACAACAAGGAAUGUUCUGAAGAAAAUGAGGACAAACUGUGCCAUGUUUACUAUACCAUUUCUGAAGUCCCGGCAGACACUGAUAAGUUAUACAGUCUGGCACAGAUGCCAAAUCAACCUCUGACUUUUUAAUGUAUACAUAAUAUCAUUCUAAUUAAACUUAUUGUCAUAUAAAGAGAUUGUGUUUCACUUCCAAUCAAUCUUAUAGGGAAAUUACCAACCUACGUCACAUGGGUUCUACCACGCAUACCAGUUGCAAAAA
RNAcentral lists this long non-coding RNA (1444 nucleotides) under Danio rerio (zebrafish). RNAcentral's name for it is "lncRNA (ENSDARG00000117364.1)". Lineage: Eukaryota; Metazoa; Chordata; Actinopteri; Cypriniformes; Danionidae. The record is from RNAcentral.